This 280-nucleotide ribosomal RNA is filed under the name Agathobaculum desmolans. RNAcentral's name for it is "partial 16S ribosomal RNA". It matches the Rfam family "Bacterial small subunit ribosomal RNA", at positions 524 to 802 of the family's 1533-position model. Lineage: Bacteria; Bacillati; Bacillota; Clostridia; Eubacteriales; Butyricicoccaceae. The record is from RNAcentral.
UACGUAGGGAGCAAGCGUUAUCCGGAUUUACUGGGUGUAAAGGGCGCGCAGGCGGGCCGGCAAGUUGGAAGUGAAAUCUAUGGGCUUAACCCAUAAACUGCUUUCAAAACUGCUGGUCUUGAGUGAUGGAGAGGCAGGCGGAAUUCCGUGUGUAGCGGUGAAAUGCGUAGAUAUACGGAGGAACACCAGUGGCGAAGGCGGCCUGCUGGACAUUAACUGACGCUGAGGCGCGAAAGCGUGGGGAGCAAACAGGAUUAGAUACCCGAGUAACGGCUGACUG